RNAcentral lists this unclassified non-coding RNA (405 nucleotides) under Hevea brasiliensis (rubber tree). The record is from RNAcentral. Lineage: Eukaryota; Viridiplantae; Streptophyta; Magnoliopsida; Malpighiales; Euphorbiaceae.
ACAGUAACAUUGAAUAGCCAUCUUUGUUAGAUGGAAUGUGGGAUACAGGAUUCAGUAUUGGCAUUCAAUUGCUGUUGGAAAUUGCCGAGCCUUAACCUAUUGUUGUAAUUUUCUUUCGAAAUCAGGUUGAGUUGUUGAGAAUUGUCUUUUUAAAUUGGGAAGAACAUGUAAAAUUUGUCUGGAAGUGAUGGCUUCCCUGCAAUAGGAUGCAUCUAAAAUCUUUAUUAAAUAAUGGAAGUUAAAUGUCUUUUUUCUUUUUCAUUGGCUUCCAGUGUGAACCUUUUCUUUGGCUCUGUUUCUCCUAUGUUUUGCCUGUAAUCUACUCCACUUCGUGGUUGACAGCACUAUAAUAGUGCAUAUUGAUCCCCUCAUUCUCAUAACUUCUUUCCUUGAAGGGUGGAUGGA